UUGAAAGGGAAACGAUUGAAGUCAGUCGUACCAGCGGGAAAUCAACCUUUCGAGUGGGGUUUUGGAGUUUUGAAGAGUGUCAAAACCUUUGAGAUUUCAAAAUUUUCGCUCCUUUGGUGUACUUUCUCGUGGGUAGGUUAACAUCGAUUUCGAUCAUCAUAAAAGGAUUGGAGGAAUGUAGCUUCGAUCUUGUAUUGAAGUGUUAUAGCCUUUGGUAAAUGUGAUGAUUGGGAUCGAGGAUUGCAACGAAUACCCUUUUGGGCUAUCCGCCUGAUCUCUGAUACGUGGCCUUGGCAUCGAAAGCUUGCUUAUGGUUUUGGGUAUUACGGUCAAAAGGUUAGAACGGAUUACAUUCGUUAAGGAUGUUGACGUA
Molecule: ribosomal RNA, 373 nt
Filed under: uncultured Glomeromycotina
Lineage: Eukaryota; Fungi; Glomeromycota
Description: LSU rRNA
Source: RNAcentral